GGGCCGAUGAUGUGAACCAUGCUCCUACGGUCUAGACCUGUGGACAAUGAAAACAAUGAAUGUAACCUAGCAAUGCUUUGAGUCCC
RNAcentral lists this small nucleolar RNA (86 nucleotides) under Oryza longistaminata (longstamen rice). RNAcentral's name for it is "snoRNA snoZ168". It matches the Rfam family "Small nucleolar RNA Z168/Z174". Rfam says of the family: This family consists of several snoRNA Z168 and Z174 sequences which are members of the C/D class of snoRNA which contain the C (UGAUGA) and D (CUGA) box motifs. Lineage: Eukaryota; Viridiplantae; Streptophyta; Magnoliopsida; Poales; Poaceae. The record is from RNAcentral.